AGAGUUUGAUCAUGGCUCAGAACGAACGCUGGCGGCGUGGAUCAGACAUGCAAGUCGAACGAGGUUAGUCUGGUAGCAAUGCUGGGCUGACCUAGUGGCGAACGGGUGCGUAACACGUGACCAACCUGCCUAAAAGUGGGGGAUAGCUCGCCGAAAGGCGGAUUAAUACCGCAUGUGAUCGUAAGAUUAAAGCAGCAAUGCGCUUUUAGAGGGGGUCGCGGCCUAUCAGCUAGUUGGUGAGGUAAAGGCUUACCAAGGCAGCGACGGGUAGCUGGUCUGAGAGGACGACCAGCCACACUGGAACUGAGACACGGUCCAGACACCUACGGGUGGCAGCAGUCGAGAAUUUUUCUCAAUGGGGGAAACCCUGAAGGAGCGACGCCGCGUGGAGGAUGAAGGCUUUCGGGUUGUAAACUCCUGUCAUCUGGGAACAAAACUCGCAAGAGCUUGAUAGUACCAGAAGAGGAAGAGACGGCUAACUCUGUGCCAGCAGCCGCGGUAAUACAGAGGUCUCAAGCGUUGUUCGGAUUCAUUGGGCGUAAAGGGCGCGUAGGCGGUGGGGUAAGUCUGGUGUGAAAUCUCGGAGCUCAACUUCGAAAUUGCACUGGAUACUGCUCUGCUAGAGGGCUGGAGAGGAGAUCGGAAUUCACGGUGUAGCAGUGAAAUGCGUAGAUAUCGUGAGGAAGACCAGUGGCGAAGGCGGAUCUCUGGACAGCUCCUGACGCUGAGGCGCGAAGGCUAGGGGAGCAAACGGGAUUAGAUACCCCAGUAGUCC
Molecule: ribosomal RNA, 775 nt
Filed under: uncultured bacterium
Lineage: Bacteria
Description: bacterial SSU rRNA
Rfam family: Bacterial small subunit ribosomal RNA
Source: RNAcentral